Molecule: ribosomal RNA, 275 nt
Filed under: uncultured Eubacteriales bacterium
Lineage: Bacteria; Bacillati; Bacillota; Clostridia; Eubacteriales
Description: uncultured Clostridiales bacterium partial 16S ribosomal RNA
Rfam family: Bacterial small subunit ribosomal RNA
Source: RNAcentral
AGUUGAAAGGAGCUUGCUUUUUCAACUCAGUGGCGGACGGGUGAGUAACGCGUGAGUAACCUGCCUUUCAGAGGGGGAUAACGUUCUGAAAAGAACGCUAAUACCGCAUAAGAUUGUAGUUUCGCAUGGAGCAGCAAUCAAAGGAGCAAUCCGCUGAAAGAUGGACUCGCGUCCGAUUAGAUAGUUGGCGGGGUAACGGCCCACCAAGUCGACGAUCGGUAGCCGGACUGAGAGGUUGAUCGGCCACAUUGGGACUGAGACACGGCCCAGACUCC